UACAGAGGUCCCAAGCGUUGUUCGGAUUCAUUGGGCGUAAAGGGUGCGUAGGUGGUGCCGUAAGUCAGGUGUGAAAUCUCGGGGCUCAACCCCGAAACUGCACUUGAUACUGCGGUGCUCGAGGACUGGAGAGGAGAUUGGAAUUCAUGGUGUAGCAGUGAAAUGCGUAGAUAUCAUGAGGAAGACCAGUGGCGAAGGCGGAUCUCUGGACAGUUCCUGACACUGAGGCACGAAGGCCAGGGGAGCAAACAGG
RNAcentral lists this ribosomal RNA (253 nucleotides) under uncultured bacterium. Its description in RNAcentral is "partial 16S ribosomal RNA". It matches the Rfam family "Bacterial small subunit ribosomal RNA", at positions 524 to 776 of the family's 1533-position model. The record is from RNAcentral.